GACACUGUGUCCGAGCGGUCUAAGGAGCAGGAUUUAGGUAGGUUGUGGUCCUCGUGUUGAGGCCUCUUCUUAUUCUUGAAAGAAACGUUCCUGUACGAAAGUGCGUGGGUUCAAAUCCCACCGGUGUCA
This 129-nucleotide transfer RNA is filed under the name Micromonas pusilla CCMP1545. It matches the Rfam family "tRNA". Rfam says of the family: Transfer RNA (tRNA) molecules are approximately 80 nucleotides in length. Their secondary structure includes four short double-helical elements and three loops (D, anti-codon, and T loops). Further hydrogen bonds mediate the characteristic L-shaped molecular structure. tRNAs have two regions of fundamental functional importance: the anti-codon, which is responsible for specific mRNA codon recognition, and the 3' end, to which the tRNAs corresponding amino acid is attached (by aminoacyl-tRNA synthetases). tRNAs cope with the degeneracy of the genetic code in two manners: having more than one tRNA (with a specific anti-codon) for a particular amino acid; and 'wobble' base-pairing, i.e. permitting non-standard base-pairing at the 3rd anti-codon position. The record is from Rfam by way of RNAcentral. Lineage: Eukaryota; Viridiplantae; Chlorophyta; Mamiellophyceae; Mamiellales; Mamiellaceae.